GACAGAGGGUGCAAACGUUGCUCGGAAUCACUGGGCGUAAAGGGCGUGUAGGCGGGAAGAUAAGUCAGAUGUGAAAUCCCCAGGCUCAACCUGGGAACUGCAUUUGAAACUGUCCUUCUUGAGUGUCGGAGAGGAAAGUGGAAUUCCUGGUGUAGAGGUGAAAUUCGUAGAUAUCAGGAGGAACACCGGUGGCGAAGGCGGCUUUCUGGACGACUACUGACGCUGAGACGCGAAAGCGUGGGGAGCAAACAGG
RNAcentral lists this unclassified non-coding RNA (253 nucleotides) under uncultured Myxococcales bacterium. RNAcentral's name for it is "contains 16S-23S intergenic spacer region". It matches the Rfam family "Bacterial small subunit ribosomal RNA", at positions 524 to 776 of the family's 1533-position model. The record is from RNAcentral. Lineage: Bacteria; Pseudomonadati; Myxococcota; Myxococcia; Myxococcales.